GGGGCCGACUUGGUUUUGACAAUUCGGCAGAUUUUUUAGUAAGCAUGUCGUGUGCUGAAUGUACACACGUAAAUAAAUAUGUUCAAACUUUAAGUGGUAACACUUCUUACGCUCUCGCGGCCUAAUCCGACUUAGUCAGAUUACCUAAUUCCAGCUACUAGGUAGCGGAACGAGAUGCCCCGCUGCACGUUUCGUCUUUUUACGGCAGACUUGGGGUAUCGUAUAAAAAGACUAGCGAGUGUUGUGUCUAGGUGCACUCGCGAAACUCAAUAGGCUAAGCCAUGUUAUUUGCCGCUCUUAGUGUAUGCAUGGUCGAAAAUUAAGUAAGAGCUAAGCAUGAAGAAAGCUAACGGAUCCCGUAUCUGGACGAGGGUUCGAGUCCCUCCGGCUCCAC
RNAcentral lists this transfer-messenger RNA (394 nucleotides) under marine eukaryotic metagenome. It matches the Rfam family "transfer-messenger RNA". From Rfam's summary of the family: Bacterial tmRNA, also known as 10Sa RNA or SsrA, is named for its dual tRNA and mRNA-like properties. Its role is to liberate the mRNA from a stalled ribosome. To accomplish this part of the tmRNA is used as a reading frame that ends in a translation stop signal. The record is from RNAcentral.